GACAGAGGAUGCAAGCGUUAUCCGGAAUGAUUGGGCGUAAAGCGUCUGUAGGUGGCUUUUUAAGUCUGCCGUCAAAUCCCAGGGCUUAACCCUGGACAGGCGGUGGAAACUACCAAGCUGGAGUACGGUAGGGGCAGGGGGAAUUCCUGGUGUAGCGGUGAAAUGCGUAGAGAUCAGGAAGAACACCGGUGGCGAAAGCGCUCUGCUAGGCCGCAACUGACACUCAUGGACGAAAGCUAGGGGAGCGAAUGGG
RNAcentral lists this ribosomal RNA (253 nucleotides) under uncultured bacterium. RNAcentral describes it as "partial 16S ribosomal RNA". It matches the Rfam family "Bacterial small subunit ribosomal RNA", at positions 524 to 776 of the family's 1533-position model. The record is from RNAcentral.